This 2541-nucleotide ribosomal RNA is filed under the name Triticum aestivum (bread wheat). RNAcentral's name for it is "partial small subunit ribosomal RNA". Lineage: Eukaryota; Viridiplantae; Streptophyta; Magnoliopsida; Poales; Poaceae. The record is from RNAcentral.
AUGCCGCCGUUAGCCGAGUCGCUGCUGCCGCCGGAUGAGCUGAUGACGGAUGUGUUCCUGUAGCUGCCCGUCAAAUCCCUCCUCCGCUUCCGGACCGUCUGCCGCUCCUGGGCCGCGCUGCUCUCCUCCGACGAGUUCUGCGGCCUCCACAGGGCCAAGGUCGAGGCCGAGGCAGCACCGUCACCCAAGCUGCUAUUCAUCUCGCCGGCCGCGAGCUUCGACUCCACGGGGAUUUACUCGUGCUCGCCAUCAGGCAACGGUCUCCUGCUCACUCUCAACGACGUGCGUGGUGACCAUGUGGACAUGACGCCUGCGCCGUGCCACGGCCUCACCCUCUUGCAUGACGCCGUUGAGCCAGCCUACUAUGUUUUCAACGCGACCACACGGGCCGUCACCCGGCUGCCGCCUUGCCAAGACUCCUUCAUGGCCAUUGCUUGUCUCGGAUUCGAUUCCAGGAGGAGGGACUACAAGGUAGUGAGGUUGUUUUUCGAGAAACACUUCGGGGUUGAUAAUAUCAAGUGCGAGGUGUACGCCCUUGGUGGCGAGCACGGGGAUCGCUGGAUGCCGGCUGCCGGUGGUGUGCCCUUUAGGUUCUGCAAGUUUGCCGCUGAUGCGAUAAUCGCAACACGGAGUGAAGCUAAGCUGAUGCCGGUGUUCGCAGACGGAUUUCUGCACUGGGUUGUCGACUCGCCUCUUUUCCUCGCAAAGCCAAGAGCUGCCGUCUUAUCGUUCUCUCUCGCAGAUGAGACCUUUAGAUGGUUCAGGUCACCAAUCUUCGAGGUCCCAGGAGUGCACCUGGUGGAGCUUGAUGGCCACUUGUGUAUGGUCCGGGACCUCCGUCCCGAUACUAGUAUUAUGGAGAUUUGGGAAAUGCAGGACUGCAACUCUGGUGAUUGGACGUUGGCACAUCGUAUUGAUUUGUUACAACAUGUUCAAAGAGGUUUGACGGAGCCGCAAAUUAUUAGAGUCAUUGGGUCUGUUGGCAACUGUGGAUCAAGGAACAAGGUAAUCUUGGCUACAUCCAAACGCAAGGUGAUCACCUAUGACCCAGUAUCUGCAACUCUGGAAACCGUUCUUGCAAUCAGAGAAACUCAUUCACCUUACGAAACCAAGCAAUCUGCUCCUAGAGUCAGUUUAUUUAAAGAGAAUCUUGCUCCGGUGCACAGAACAAAUGAAGAGAUAGACUCGGGUUCUCCCCUGGCCAAGGCAACUAAGGAGAUCCUACUCCGACUCCCGGGUAAUUUUGCAGUGCAGUUCAAGCUGGUCAGCAAGCAGUGGCUUACAUUGAUCGAGAGUCGAAGCUUCAUGCGCUCUUACUAUGAGCAUAACAACAACAUAGACAGGAGGCCCAAGAUCAUGCUUGUGGGCAAGGGUGCUAGAGGUCUGGGUUUCAGUUUUGCUCCCAUGGGUAAAUUGCUUCAAGAGGCUCCUAGUCAAGGAACAUGGCUUGACACAAGGGUGGUUUGCUCCAAGCCUUGUCAUGGCAUGAACCUGUUAAGUACUGAGAGUGAGGACUAUCUCUACAACCCUUGCACAGGAUACCACACUCAAGGGAGGCUCGCCUAUGUGCCCAACCAUAUACUCUCGAUGAUGCACGACAGUGUCCAUACACCAGAAGAUCAUGCUUUUGGUGUUGGCAACAGGAAUGUUGGCCUGGGGUUCAAUCAUCUGACACGGGAGCAUGUCAUUGUUCAAAUCUUAUAUCACUUGAAGGACUUUGAAUCUCGUCAAUAUUUAUUUACAUUCUCAGUAAUUGCCACUGGAUCGGUGCAAGACCACUUUCAGCCGCCUCUUCCUGUAAAUGACAUGCCACCAACCUAUCUGUCAGGAGUACUAUAUUGGAUGAGUGAACCAAGGUUAGGCCAGAGUUAUGAGAGGGCCAUUGUGUCUUAUAACAUUGCGACUAGGAUGUUUGGUGUCAUCUCCUGCCCCUCAAGCAUCGCAGUGUGGAGCAGCACAAGUCCAUCCCAAGCAUUUGUGGUAGAGCUUGAGGGGAUAUUAUGUGCUGUUCAUGCAGAUCCAGUUGCAGAUGAGUUGGAUAUUUGGAAGCUGGAACAUGGUCGAUGGGAUAGAGCAUGUAAAAUAUAUUUAGAAGACUGCCCAGGCUAUUCCCUUGGAGCAAAUGGUGUGGUUCCCUUGGCCGUUGACCCCAAGGAUGGGAGAAUCAUGCUGAACACAGGGAGGAAAUUGGGUCUUUAUGAUCCAACAAAGCAAUCGAUUGAGAACUUGUAUGAUCUUGAUGAGGUCUUGCAUGUCACAAGUUCAGAGCAGUCUCCACGCGUUGGAGUGUAUGAAGAUGUCUAGAUAACCAAAUGCGGACAUCAUGUCGAGAAGUUCUGCCCGCCGAAGUCACCUUUGGAGCAGCCCGCGUUUUUCGGUGAGCCUUCACCUAAAUUAUCUGGGAAGCAAUUUACGUGCUCCAAUGGCGUUCAACCUUUGGAGGGGAGAACUCCUCUGGACAGUAAAGUUAUGCCUCUGGUCCCAAUGUUAUACGAGGAGAGCUUGGCAAGCUUUCCAUUCUUCGCAAAACUAGGUGGUUAA